This 510-nucleotide long non-coding RNA is filed under the name Mizuhopecten yessoensis (Yesso scallop). RNAcentral's name for it is "uncharacterized LOC110460374". The record is from RNAcentral. Lineage: Eukaryota; Metazoa; Mollusca; Bivalvia; Pectinida; Pectinidae.
GCUGUAUUUUAGGUUAUUUUGUAAUAAGAGUUUAAUUCAAAUUAUUAAACUAUAUAGUAUUGUCUAAGUGAGAAUGCUUAAGUUGUACGUAUGUCUGACGUACUUAACUAUUUUUAUAUACCGAUUCUCGUACUCGUUCAACCGGUUUGUCUGGUCAACGUGUGUCUCAAGUGUUUGUUACCUGUGCUGUUUUGUUAUGUAAAUGUCUUGUCACGUGAUCGCAUGUCAGCUCGUGCACUUGUACGUCUUGUAUCUUCACUCCCGCACUGGACAGAGACCGGACCAGACAUAGAAACCUAUACCGACAUAUAUGAUACCGACUGCGGUGAACAGAACUCUACUUAUUUCAGAAACCAUAGACCUAUUAUGUAGGCAACGUAUAUUAUACGUAGAGCUAUCAUCAUUAGACCCCUGUCGGAGCGAUAGGGGUCUUUCGACUCCAAUAAAACGAUUGAAUAACUAGGAAUUUGCUUCUUCGUGAUUUGUAAGAAUUUGUGUAGCACCUGAACC